This 521-nucleotide ribosomal RNA is filed under the name Cinnamomeonectria cinnamomea. Its description in RNAcentral is "SSU rRNA". It matches the Rfam family "Eukaryotic small subunit ribosomal RNA", at positions 65 to 590 of the family's 1831-position model. The record is from RNAcentral. Lineage: Eukaryota; Fungi; Ascomycota; Sordariomycetes; Hypocreales; Nectriaceae.
AUAAGCAAUUAUACGGCGAAACUGCGAAUGGCUCAUUAUAUAAGUUAUCGUUUAUUUGAUAGUACCUUACUACUUGGAUAACCGUGGUAAUUCUAGAGCUAAUACAUGCGCAAAACCCCGACUUCGGAAGGGGUGUAUUUAUUAGAUUAAAAGCCAACGCCCUCCGGGGCUUCUUGGUGAUUCAUGAUAACUCCUCGAAUCGCACGGCCUUGCGCCGGCGAUGGUUCAUUCAAAUUUCUUCCCUAUCAACUUUCGAUGUUUGGGUAUUGGCCAAACAUGGUUGCAACGGGUAACGGAGGGUUAGGGCUCGACCCCGGAGAAGGAGCCUGAGAAACGGCUACUACAUCCAAGGAAGGCAGCAGGCGCGCAAAUUACCCAAUCCCGACACGGGGAGGUAGUGACAAUAAAUACUGAUACAGGGCUCUUUCGGGUCUUGUAAUUGGAAUGAGUACAAUUUAAAUCCCUUAACGAGGAACAAUUGGAGGGCAAGUCUGGUGCCAGCAGCCGCGGUAAUUCCAGCU